CCCGCCCCUACAGGUGUUGCAGGUGUAGCUGCUGUGUCACACGUGUGUCAGCAGGUGUCAGAGAUAAGAAAGGCCAUGUCUAUACUCAGUGUUCUGACUUUUGAACAUCUGAAUAAUCAGUAGCCUAAGAUU
Grammomys surdaster is the source of this 132-nucleotide small nucleolar RNA. RefSeq annotates it as small nucleolar RNA SNORA17. The transcript has a single exon. The record is from RefSeq and is a predicted model, not a curated record. NCBI's taxonomy places the organism in Eukaryota, Metazoa, Chordata, Mammalia, Rodentia, Muridae.